Hemicordylus capensis (graceful crag lizard) is the source of this 351-nucleotide long non-coding RNA. RefSeq lists it as uncharacterized. The record is from RefSeq and is a predicted model, not a curated record. Lineage: Eukaryota; Metazoa; Chordata; Lepidosauria; Squamata; Cordylidae. The transcript is spliced from 3 exons.
AGCAGCUGUUGGAGGAAGGUGUGUGUGUGUUACUCUGGUGCUUGAGCUUUGCUGACUCUGAGGCAAUGUUCACGUUGGUUUUAAUGCAGCAGCCACAGCAUUUUGGAAAAGCUUCUGAGGCUGUAGAAAUGCAGCAAUAGCAACAUCCACCCUGAUUCAAGAUGGCGGAUGCGUAAACGUUUGAGGCGCAAGUGGGCAGAAUUGGGCACCGCCUAACCAAUUUGGACCAAAUUUGGAGCGGGGUGGUUGCUGCUCCAUCCCAAGGCACUCUGGUCAAUAUUGGACUGCAGCGCUGGCUCCAGGAUUAGGAGGUCCCUUGGCAAAGACACCCACUGUUAGCCUUGACCAGCC